RNAcentral lists this small RNA (642 nucleotides) under Arabidopsis thaliana (thale cress). RNAcentral describes it as "ATSL109040". Lineage: Eukaryota; Viridiplantae; Streptophyta; Magnoliopsida; Brassicales; Brassicaceae. The record is from RNAcentral.
AUGCAAAAUGAUAGGAUUAAUAUUAUUCAGGGAGUGAGUGGUUUAUAUUGUUAACUUCUAAAAAAACUAAAACAAAACAGAAUUUACAAUUAAAAAAUUAAAAAUAAAGGAAAAUUAUUUUUUUGUUGUUUUAGGACAGACUCUAGUAAAUGUCAAUUUUAUUAGGUCUCUAUAAGCUAUAACCUACACGAUUUAUCUUCUUCAAAAAAAAUGAGUCACUCACUCACACAAAAUAUGACCGCUUUUUAUUGAUUGCACGAGCUAACUACUACCUUGUCUAUUGAGUAUAAGAGAGCAAAUGAUGGUAUAGCAAUGAACAUCGAGAUGAUACUAAGAAAGAUUGUCCGAAGAAUCUCGAUAGUAGUUCGAGCUAUCAAACUUUAGAGGUUUAACUCACACUAACGCUCGUUUAGUAGACAACUCGUCAGUCAAUUGAUUUCACCCGGCGAAUGAGUGGUUUCUAUUGUUAACUUCUAGAAGAAUUCAUUUUGAUUUUUUCUAGAUGAUUCCGUAAUUUUGACAUCUAACAUAUGAUUUCAUCAUAUUCUUUUCGGCCAAAACAUGAUUCAGAAAUUUUAACAUAAAUUCAAAUUGGGCAAAAAAUCAAAAUUUGGAAAUGAUUAUUUUGUAAUUUCUGUUUUA